RNAcentral lists this unclassified non-coding RNA (347 nucleotides) under soil metagenome. Its description in RNAcentral is "partial contains 5.8S ribosomal RNA, internal transcribed spacer 2, and large subunit ribosomal RNA". The stretch from base 1 to 120 matches the Rfam family "5.8S ribosomal RNA", at positions 35 to 154 of the family's 154-position model. The record is from RNAcentral.
GAUGAAGAACGUAGCGAAAUGCGAUAAGUAAUGUGAAUUGCAGAAUUCAGUGAAUCAUCGAGUCUUUGAACGCACAUUGCGCCCCCUGGUAUUCCGGGGGGCAUGCCUGUCCGAGCGUCAUUGCUGCCCUCAAGCCCGGCUUGUGUGUUGGGCCCCGUCCCCCGAUCUCCGGGGGACGGGCCCGAAAGGCAGCGGCGGCACCGCGUCCGGUCCUCGAGCGUAUGGGGCUUUGUCACCCGCUCUGUAGGCCCGGCCGGCGCUUGCCGAUCAACCCAAAUUUUUAUCCAGGUUGACCUCGGAUCAGGUAGGGAUACCCGCUGAACUUAAGCAUAUCAAUAAGCGGAGGA